This 496-nucleotide ribosomal RNA is filed under the name uncultured bacterium. RNAcentral's name for it is "partial 16S ribosomal RNA". It matches the Rfam family "Bacterial small subunit ribosomal RNA", at positions 29 to 507 of the family's 1533-position model. The record is from RNAcentral.
AUGAACGCUGGCGGCGUGCCUAAUACAUGCAAGUCGAGCGAACGGACGAGAAGCUUGCUUCUCUGAUGUUAGCGGCGGACGGGUGAGUAACACGUGGAUAACCUACCUAUAAGACUGGGAUAACUUCGGGAAACCGGAGCUAAUACCGGAUAAUAUUUUGAACCGCAUGGUUCAAAAGUGAAAGACGGUCUUGCUGUCACUUAUAGAUGGAUCCGCGCUGCAUUAGCUAGUUGGUAAGGUAACGGCUUACCAAGGCAACGAUGCAUAGCCGACCUGAGAGGGUGAUCGGCCACACUGGAACUGAGACACGGUCCAGACUCCUACGGGAGGCAGCAGUAGGGAAUCUUCCGCAAUGGGCGAAAGCCUGACGGAGCAACGCCGCGUGAGUGAUGAAGGUCUUCGGAUCGUAAAACUCUGUUAUUAGUGAAGAACAUAUGUGUAAGUAACUGUGCACAUCUUGACGGUACCUAAUCAGAAAGCCACGGCUAACUACGUG